RNAcentral lists this ribosomal RNA (492 nucleotides) under uncultured bacterium. RNAcentral describes it as "partial 16S ribosomal RNA". It matches the Rfam family "Bacterial small subunit ribosomal RNA", at positions 29 to 507 of the family's 1533-position model. The record is from RNAcentral.
AGUGAACGCUGGCGGUAGGCCUAACACAUGCCAGUCGAACGGCAGCACAGUAAGAGCUUGCUCUUACGGGUGGCGAGUGGCGGACGGGUGAGGAAUACAUCGGAAUCUACUUUUUCGUGGGGGAUAACGUAGGGAAACUUACGCUAAUACCGCAUACGACCUACGGGUGAAAGCAGGGGAUCUUCGGACCUUGCGCGAUUGAAUGAGCCGAUGUCGGAUUAGCUAGUUGGCGGGGUAAAGGCCCACCAAGGCGACGAUCCGUAGCUGGUCUGAGAGGAUGAUCAGCCACACUGGAACUGAGACACGGUCCAGACUCCUACGGGAGGCAGCAGUGGUGAAUAUUGGACAAUGGGCGCAAGCCUGAUCCAGCCAUACCGCGUGGGUGAAGAAGGCCUUCGGGUUGUAAAGCCCUUUUGUUGGGAAAGAAAAGCAGCAGGUUAAUACCCCGCUGUUCUGACGGUACCCAAAGAAUAAGCACCGGCUAACUUCGUG